This 253-nucleotide ribosomal RNA is filed under the name uncultured bacterium. Its description in RNAcentral is "partial 16S ribosomal RNA". It matches the Rfam family "Bacterial small subunit ribosomal RNA", at positions 524 to 776 of the family's 1533-position model. The record is from RNAcentral.
UACGGAGGGUGCAAGCGUUAUCCGGAUUUAUUAGGUUUAAAGGGUCCGCAGGCGGAAAGGUAAGUCAGUGGUGAAAGCCCGUAGCUCAACUACGGAACUGCCAUUGAUACUGUUUUUCUUGAGUAUGGUUGCCGUUGGCGGAAUAUAACAUGUAGCGGUGAAAUGCUUAGAUAUGUUAUAGAACACCGAUUGCGAAGGCAGCUAACGAAACCAUUACUGACGCUCAGGGACGAAAGCGUGGGGAGCAAACAGG